AACAGCUGUGGAAGUAGGGAAGGAUGGCUUUCCAAGAAAAAUCCCUCCUAUUUGGCACAGGAGUGCUGGUAUGGCCGUAAAGACCGUCUGACAAAAUGAGGAACAAUGAGAGGGCUGGGUGGAGGGCUCAUCAACUGUUUUUGUUUUUGUAACAGCUCAGGAGUGCGGUAUCUCUGGAACAAACGAGCUAUGAAUAGAUAGCAUAUCUUACUGUUAUGUAACGAACCAGUUGUUCUGUCUGAUAAGGUAGCAGUCCUCGCCUGAUUAAUGAGUUCAGGAUUUAUAACUAGCUGUGAAGAAAUGGAUGUAAUUUAAUGUCAUUUUUUUCCUUUCUUUCCAAGAAGGGUUGCAAAAGUAGCAGAGCUGCUCAUGCACCCUUCAGUCCUGCUCAGUGAAAACUCCUCACACUGUACCCCUUUUCUGGGCAGAAGCAUGUGCUCACCUCCAGGCGUGGUGGAGAACAGGGUUCCUCCAGGUGUCUGGCUGUAACAGUCUGGGAGCUGAGACCAGUCCUUCAGCUGGAUCACACGGGUUGGGAUGGGACAGCUCCUGGUCUUCUGUGUGUUAGCUGACAUUGUGGAUUUAUAAGCCUAAAAGUUCAGUAGAAGAAGCAGACAAUAAAGCUGUCCCACUGCUGCUUAUUAUUUAUCUGACCUA
Long non-coding RNA from Pangasianodon hypophthalmus (striped catfish), 657 nucleotides. RefSeq lists it as uncharacterized. The transcript has 2 exons. The record is from RefSeq and is a predicted model, not a curated record. Lineage: Eukaryota; Metazoa; Chordata; Actinopteri; Siluriformes; Pangasiidae.